This 256-nucleotide ribosomal RNA is filed under the name uncultured bacterium. RNAcentral describes it as "partial 16S ribosomal RNA". It matches the Rfam family "Bacterial small subunit ribosomal RNA", at positions 524 to 776 of the family's 1533-position model. The record is from RNAcentral.
UACGUAGGGUGCGAGCGUUGUCCGGAAUUACUGGGCGUAAAGAGCUCGUAGGUGGUUUGUCGCGUUGUCCGUGAAAACUCACAACUCAAUUGUGGGCGUGCGGGCGAUACGGGCAGACUGGAGUACUGCAGGGGAGACUGGAAUUCCUGGUGUAGCGGUGGAAUGCGCAGAUAUCAGGAGGAACACCGGUGGCGAAGGCGGGGUCUCUGGGCCGAUAUCGACGUGGAGGAGCGAAAAGCGUGGGGGAGCGAACAGG